UGUUGUCUGGUGUUCAUUUCUCUUUACUGCAAUGCUCAAGAAUGAUUUAUGCUCAUGCUAAUGAAAUAAAUCACUUUAUUCAUUUGUGCAUCUUGGGGUUGUAAUGUUUUCGAUAGAUUACAACAAAUGUUGAGAAGACAUUUCAUUGCUUAUGUUUAUAUUAACAACUUUGCCAUUGUUGAUUAGUCACUGUCAACUAGUAUUGAAGGGGGAACCAAAUGGCUGGUCAACAAAUUAAAAGGGAAGAUGCAAAAGCCAUUAACGGAGUUGCUAAAGGAAUUCGAUCUACCCAUAGGAAUAUUUCCUCGUGACGCCACAAACUAUGAAUUUAAUGAAGAAACAGGGAAGCUUGUCGUGUCCAUUGUGUGGGUGCAUGACUCUUAUUGCUGUAUGACUAUUCAAAUUCUUGUACUGAAUUUUGUGUGCCUCAUGAUUGCAGGAAAUGGGGAAAAUGCUUGACAAGAAAGAAGUUAGGCUUUCUAAGGAACCAUCUUUAUGUAAUGAAACAAUUACUAUUGUUGUUCGAAUGCUAGAUGGUUAUCGUCUUAAACAUCGCAUUCUCAAAUAGAUAGUGAGGAUUGUAUGUUUGGUGGAUAUUAUGUGUAGUUUUAAAAAAUUAAAAAAUUUAAUUACUUAAUUUUCAUGUUA
Molecule: non-coding RNA, 648 nt
Organism: Cajanus cajan (pigeon pea)
Lineage: Eukaryota; Viridiplantae; Streptophyta; Magnoliopsida; Fabales; Fabaceae
Source: RefSeq, a predicted model, not a curated record